GACGAACGCUGGCGGCGUGCCUAAUACAUGCAAGUUGAGCGAUGAAGAUUGGUGCUUGCACCAAUUUGAAGAGCAGCGCACGGGUGAGUAACGCGUGGGGAAUCUGCCUUUGAGCGGGGGACAACAUUUGGAAACGAUUCCUAAUCCCCCAUAAUAACUUUCAACAUAAUUUUCAAGUUUUAAAAUUGCAAUUCCAUAACUCAAAGAUAUUCCCGCGUUGUGUUAGCUAGUUGGUGAGGUAAGGCUUCACAAAGCCGAUGAUACAUAGCGACCUUGAGAGGGUGAUCGGCCACAUUGGGACUGAGACACGGCCCAAACUCCUACGGGAGGCAGCAGUAGGGAAUCUUCGGCAAUGGCAGAAAGUCUGACCGAGCAACGCCGCGUGAGUGAAGAAGGGUGUCGGAUCGUAAAACUCUGUUGGUAGAGAAGAACGUUGGUGAGAGUGGAAAGCUCAUCAAGUGACGGUAACUACCCAGAAAGGGACGGCUAACUACGUG
This 497-nucleotide ribosomal RNA is filed under the name uncultured bacterium. RNAcentral's name for it is "partial 16S ribosomal RNA". It matches the Rfam family "Bacterial small subunit ribosomal RNA", at positions 28 to 507 of the family's 1533-position model. The record is from RNAcentral.